RNAcentral lists this ribosomal RNA (500 nucleotides) under uncultured bacterium. RNAcentral's name for it is "bacterial SSU rRNA". It matches the Rfam family "Bacterial small subunit ribosomal RNA", at positions 791 to 1282 of the family's 1533-position model. The record is from RNAcentral.
UAGUCCUAGCUGUAAACGAUGAGCACUUGAUCGAAGACUCCUCCAUAGGUUUUCGGUCGUAGCGAAAGUGUUAAGUGCUCCGCCUGGGGAGUAUGGCCGCAAGGCUGAAACUCAAAGGAAUUGACGGGGGCUCACACAAGCGGUGGAGGAUGUGGCUUAAUUCGAGGCUACGCGAAGAACCUUAUCCUGGUCUUGACAUGCUUGGGAAUAUCCGUGAAAGCGGAUAGUGCCUUUCGGGGAGCCCUUGCACAGGUGCUGCAUGGCUGUCGUCAGCUCGUGUCGUGAGAUGUCGGGUUAAGUCCCUUAACGAGCGAAACCCUUAUCUCUAGUUGCCAGCGCGUUAUGGCGGGGACUCUAGAGAGACUGCCGGUGUUAAACCGGAGGAAGGCGGGGGAUGACGUCAAGUCCUCAUGGCCUUUAUGAUCAGGGGCUGCACACGUCCUACAAUGCGUCAUACAAAGGGGAAGCAACCUCGCGAGAGCAAGCAAAUCCCAGAAAGU